GGUACUUGUACCGACUGGAUGAGCAGCGAACGGGUGAUUAACGCGUGGGGAAUCUGCCUUUGAGCGGGGGACAACAUUUGGAAACGAAUGCUAAUACCGCAUAAAAACUUUAAACACAAGUUUUAAGUUUGAAAGAUGCAAUUGCAUCACUCAAAGAUGAUCCCGCGUUGUAUUAGCUAGUUGGUGAGGUAAAGGCUCACCAAGGCGAUGAUACAUAGCCGACCUGAGAGGGUGAUCGGCCACAUUGGGACUGAGACACGGCCCAAACUCCUACGGGAGGCAGCAGUAGGGAAUCUUCGGCAAUGGACGAAAGUCUGACCGAGCAACGCCGCGUGAGUGAAGAAGGUUUUCGGAUCGUAAAACUCUGUUGGUAGAGAAGAACGUUGGUGAGAGUGGAAAGCUCAUCAAGUGACGGUAACUACCCAGAAAGGGACGGCUAACUACGUGCCAGCAGCCGCGGUAAUACGUAGGUCCCGAGCGUUGUCCGGAUUUAUUGGGCGUAAAGCGAGCGCAGGUGGUUUAUUAAGUCUGGUGUAAAAGGCAGUGGCUCAACCAUUGUAUGCAUUGGAAACUGGUAGACUUGAGUGCAGGAGAGGAGAGUGGAAUUCCAUGUGUAGCGGUGAAAUGCGUAGAUAUAUGGAGGAACACCGGUGGCGAAAGCGGCUCUCUGGCCUGUAACUGACACUGAGGCUCGAAAGCGUGGGGAGCAAACAGGAUUAGAUACCCUGGUAGUCCACGCCGUAAACGAUGAGUGCUAGAUGUAGGGAGCUAUAAGUUCUCUGUAUCGCAGCUAACGCAAUAAGCACUCCGCCUGGGGAGUACGACCGCAAGGUUGAAACUCAAAGGAAUUGACGGGGGCCCGCACAAGCGGUGGAGCAUGUGGUUUAAUUAGAAGCAACGCGAAGAACCUUACCAGGUCUUGACAUACUCGUGCUAUUCCUAGAGAUAGGAAGUUCCUUCGGGACACGGGAUACAGGUGGUGCAUGGUUGUCGUCAGCUCGUGUCGUGAGAUGUUGGGUUAAGUCCCGCAACGAGCGCAACCCCUAUUGUUAGUUGCCAUCAUUAAGUUGGGCACUCUAACGAGACUGCCGGUGAUAAACCGGAGGAAGGUGGGGAUGACGUCAAAUCAUCAUGCCCCUUAUGACCUGGGCUACACACGUGCUACAAUGGAUGGUACAACGAGUCGCGAGACAGUGAUGUUUAGCUAAUCUCUUAAAACCAUUCUCAGUUCGGAUUGUAGGCUGCAACUCGCCUACAUGAAGUCGGAAUCGGUAGUAAUCGCGGAUCAGCACGCCGCGGUGAAUACGUUCCCGGGCCUUGUACACACCGC
This 1330-nucleotide ribosomal RNA is filed under the name Lactococcus lactis. Its description in RNAcentral is "bacterial SSU rRNA". It matches the Rfam family "Bacterial small subunit ribosomal RNA", at positions 75 to 1393 of the family's 1533-position model. The record is from RNAcentral. Lineage: Bacteria; Bacillati; Bacillota; Bacilli; Lactobacillales; Streptococcaceae.